CCUACGGGAGGCAGCAGUGAGGAAUAUUGGUCAAUGGGCGCGAGCCUGAACCAGCCAAGUCGCGUGAGGGAGGACGGCCCUACGGGUUGUAAACCUCUUUUGCCGGGGAGCAACGGGCGUCACGUGUGGCGCCACUGAGAGUACCCGGAGAAAAAGCAUCGGCUAACUCCGUGCCCGCAGCCGCGGUAAUACGGAGGAUGCGAGCGUUAUCCGGAUUUAUUGGGUUAAAGGGGUGCGUAGGCGGAUCGUUAAGUCAGUGGUCAAAUUGAGGGGCUCAACCCCUUCCCGCCAUUGAAACUGGCGCUCUUGAGUGGAAGAGAAGUAUGCGGAAUGCGUGGUGUAGCGGUGAAAUGCAUAGAGAUCACGCAGAACCCCGAUUGCGAAGGCAGCAUGCCGGCUUCCGACUGACGCUGAAGCACGAAAGCGUGGGGAGCGAACAGGAUUAGAUACCCCAGUAGUC
This 460-nucleotide ribosomal RNA is filed under the name uncultured bacterium. RNAcentral describes it as "partial 16S ribosomal RNA". It matches the Rfam family "Bacterial small subunit ribosomal RNA", at positions 338 to 795 of the family's 1533-position model. The record is from RNAcentral.